GCUGGGUGUGGUGGCUCACACCUGUGAUCCCAGCAUUUUGGGAGGCUGAGGCAGGAGGAUCACUUGAGGCCAGGAAUCCGAGACCAGCCUGGUCAACAUAGUGAGACCUUGUCUCUA
Pongo abelii (Sumatran orangutan) is the source of this 117-nucleotide unclassified non-coding RNA. It matches the Rfam family "Metazoan signal recognition particle RNA". From Rfam's summary of the family: The signal recognition particle (SRP) is a universally conserved ribonucleoprotein. It is involved in the co-translational targeting of proteins to membranes. The eukaryotic SRP consists of a 300-nucleotide 7S RNA and six proteins: SRPs 72, 68, 54, 19, 14, and 9. The record is from Ensembl. Lineage: Eukaryota; Metazoa; Chordata; Mammalia; Primates; Hominidae.